This is a long non-coding RNA of Grammomys surdaster, 846 nucleotides long. RefSeq lists it as uncharacterized. The record is from RefSeq and is a predicted model, not a curated record. The transcript has 3 exons. Lineage: Eukaryota; Metazoa; Chordata; Mammalia; Rodentia; Muridae.
UGUAGCCCAGCACAUCUGCUCAGAGCACGGAGUGCGAACGAACGUUUGGUUGUCGGGCAGAGCAGGGAGACUGCUCGCAUGCUUUGAUCUCAGAGUGACUGAUGAAAGUUCUGGAGGGAGCAGCCUGAAGCAUGCACAGGGCGGUUUGGAAGUGUGGAGAAAGGUCUGCUCCCAUCAACUUCCAGCCUUCCGUCUUCUUGAAACCAAGAGCCACACCUUUGAUUAAACUGCUGAGUCCUGUGAGAGAGACAGCUAAUGAUACAAGCAAACACACCGUGACCACAGAGACCAUGUGGGAGGACCUGAAAUGCGGUGAGGAAGAGGAGAUGAAGGAGACGAGGGUGAAAGAAAUGAUGACCCAGUUUCCAUACCAAGUAUUAAUAUGGCAGCGAUAUUGAGAAGAGACGGUUCAGGAAAGCACCCACCACACAGAUGGCCUGCCCUUCUCAGGAUGGCGAGAGUAAAGGAAAGGGAGCCAAGGACAAUCCCUACAGGAACAGGAAUCCCUGGAAGCCGAGCAAGGGCCCUGUUGGCUUUAUUCUGUCUGCAAACUACUUAGACACCAAAAGUUGACUUGAUGAAUCGCACAAGACUGUGAGCCAAUAACGUGCUGGUAGGAACUCUUGAGGACUCUGACAAAAGCCCAGUGUCAAGGCGGCCUGAUGGGACAGCCAAAGAGGCCUGGACCACAGGCUGAAAGGCUGUUCCCAACACUGUGGUGUCAUAAGGACUGCUAAAUGAAACUCCCCAACUGAAGACAGACUGAAGGUCACAAACAAGAAGGGCAGAGUACCAUACAGGAAAUCAAACCGAAGUGCCAGCUGCAGACACUCAACAGACUAGAAG